This is a long non-coding RNA of Triticum aestivum (bread wheat), 3054 nucleotides long. RefSeq lists it as uncharacterized. The transcript is spliced from 8 exons. The record is from RefSeq and is a predicted model, not a curated record. Lineage: Eukaryota; Viridiplantae; Streptophyta; Magnoliopsida; Poales; Poaceae.
CCCAUUCUAUCCCUAACCUCCAGUCCCGAGCGUCACCACCCUGAUGCCCCAUCCACCGGCGCCGCUCCAGCCCCCGCCCAUCCUCCGGCGCCGCCCUCGACCCAGUCACCGGCGCGGCCCCCGACCAGCCACCGGCGCCGCCUCGCCCAGGUGCCGGCGCCGUCCCCCGCCCAGCCACCGGCGCCGCCCCCGCCCAGCCACCGGCGCCGCUCCCGACCAGCCACCGGCGCCGCCCCCGCCCAGCCAACGGCGCCGCUCCCAGACUCAUCCUCACGGCCCCCGUCGACCUCCUAGUAACCGUGAAGCCAAUAGCGGCGGAAUAUUGCGGCUGGGCGUUCGCCCUUGAACUGCCUCGCGCCUCUGCCUCGAACGGUUGGACUCGCUGUCCCCGAGCUGGCCCCCACCCCAGCCCCUAGCAGGCCUCCACGCAACUUCCCUCGAACAUGUGCACGGUGCUGCUCUCCUCUGAUUUCUUUCUUCUUUCUCUCUAGCAACAGAUGUUGCUGCUUCCUCUGCUGAUGCUGCGUGAUGUUGAGGUUUUGAUUCAGAGAAACUGAACAAAAAGGAGAAGACAGCCAUGAUUUUUAUUGUUGUGGUUUGUUUUAUUGCCCUCAAUGUGUUUGUUGGAAUGCCUACAACAAACGUUCAUAUUUUUUUUCAUGUUUCUCUUUUGUUCUGCUGUACUAUUCUAUCCAUGAUCUUUGUACGUGUGGAUGUCCAGUAUGCACACUUCCCUACUAUGUGAAGUACAAAAUAUGUUGGGGGGGGGGGGGGGGUGAAUUCAUCAUGAAUGUUCAAAAAAAUAGUUGUCUCCUAAUUUUACAUGUUGGCUUGUCCUCUUUAUAGAAGUUUGAAUCGUACACUUGUCAGUUUGUGUGUGUGUUGUUAAAAUUCUCUAUUACGUUUGACCAAGAUACAACAGUUUGGCACAUACAUCGUUUGCAUGCCUAUCUCUCCCUUUUGCAAAGUUUUCCUAAGUGACGUUAAGUUCAGUCGCAUCUAUAGGUGUGGGUGCAGAAAAAACAUUUGCAUCAGUUCAAAAUGAAACACAAAAACAGUACGAUGCGUAGUUUGAUGUGUGUGUUAAAAACAAAACAGUAUGGUUUUGCAUUAUAUUUUGUUCACUAAACAAAAAAAGUUCUAUCAGUUCAGCAAAUAAAAACCCUCUCCUCCUGUCAAUCCCACUUCAACGGCUGCGUAAUUCCAUUUCCCCUUCUUUCUCUCUAGCCAUAACCUCGGCCGCCGGCCACCCCGCUCCUACACCUUGCUGCUUGUUCUCUGUUGGUGGUGCACGCCACUGAUGAUAGAUGGUAGCUACUCUUGAUGCACAUUUUCACUACUGGCUGUGCGUACGCAUUGGUGUGCUGUAGAGUGAUGUGAAACACCCAGUUCAAUUUCACAUUAACUAACUCGUCACACACUCAAUUCAAUUUCUUCAGUGGCAAAAGAGUGGAACCUGCAGGAGAAGCCACGGGGGGCGAGGACGUCCAACUCGGCGAGAUCAACGUCAUAGUCGACCCCAUGUUUGCUGGCAAGACCACUGUGGUUCUCCACCGGCACCGCCCAUGGCUAGAGCUUGCCGGCGAUGGCAGAUGUGGAGCUUCACCACCAUUCGCAGCCCCAAACCAUGAUCCAGUUCUUCGUGAGGCUCUCGAGCUUGUAUUUUUUUCCAGUUCAUCUAAUGUUAGGGACAGUCAUCCGGGUGCAUGGGAGCAACUGCUGAUGGAGGACGAGUCAAAGUGUUGUGACUGGCUGCUGCAGAUCCUCUGAUGGUUGCAACAAAACUAAGAUGCACAAGUUCAUAUUUUGUAUGCUUUUCAGUUCAUCUACUUCCCGGUGAAUUUCGAGUCGAACAAUUGCAAAAAUUCAGAGCAGACAACAGGAGAAGUUCAACGAAAAAUCGGACUUGUAUAGUAAUGAAGGAGGAAGCAUCAGUGCCGCCGGGUCUAGGAAUUCAGGAGGUUCAAAGAUUGUCGUGGAGCAAGUUCAAGAGUUUAGCCUGCGUGAGUCGUCCAUCAUCUUCCCUCAUCUAGCAUCGGAGUCUCUCCUCCCCCUUGCUGAACACACAGGCCAGGCUGUCUAGCACCUCCUCAGGUGAGGACGGCGACGAGUCACGACACCGCUGCGUCCAGCAGUCCAACACCACCGCCGGAGGCCGUUCACUGUCAUGCCUACUUUCGCCCGUGCCUCCUUCCCAGUCAUCAUGAGUGCUGCUUUGUUUCAGACCUGACAGAAGAAGGCAGAACCUCUCUCUCGUACACACCAGUCUGUGCUUCUUCAGUUCUAAAAUUCCCAGAGCGUCAGUGCAACUACAUAUCAGGGUAUGCUAUGUUGAUUCUAUAAUUUUCCGUAUGCUUGUAUGUACAAAAAUAUGGUAUAUUUACUGCUUCAUUUUCUUGUGGUGCGAAUGUUGUUGAUGUACAUAAUUUGUGCUGACUAGCAGCCUCCCCCACUGCGCCGCCGCCCCGACCACCAGCCUCCCUGGGCAUGGUACGCAAUCCACUCCUGUGCCACACCGUCCUCGAUGCCCCGCCACGCGCCACCAGCCGCCGCCUCCCUCCCACGCACCACCCGCGGCUGCCACGCCAAGGCUUGCGCUCAGCGGCCGUAGAGGGAGCAACGGGGUCGAGGAUCUUCAUCUCAGCAGUACAACUGCACGCCUCGUCGUUGUUCAUUAAAAGUGCUGCUGCUGUACACUCAACACAGGAGCACGCAGGCAGGUGCACGCAGCAAUAAGGGAGAAGCGCACAUGAAGCAGGCGAGGAGGUGUGUGUGUGCGAGAGAUGAUACUGAACUUGUAUUGCUGCUGUACUUGCGUGUGAAUGAUUCUUUUUUUCCUGCUCAUUCUUGUACCGCCUUCCAUGAAAAAACCUGAUGACAGAAUACUUGAUAUUUGUGUAUUCUAUCAUCAGUCCAUGGAGAAGAAAUUCUUUUUUCUUCGGUGUGUAUUCUAGCGUGAGUUCUAUGUGUAUUUUUGUUCUCUUUUCUUCAGUCCACAAGAAGAAAAAAAUGUCAGUUCAUGAAUAGAGAAUGUUUGUAUUAAACUUAAUAUUA